This 66-nucleotide transfer RNA is filed under the name Auchenoplax crinita. RNAcentral describes it as "tRNA-Ala". Lineage: Eukaryota; Metazoa; Annelida; Polychaeta; Terebellida; Ampharetidae. The record is from RNAcentral.
GUUCAUCUAGUUUAAAUAAAAUUUUUGUUUUGCAAACAAAUAAUGAGAAAUAUUUCUCGUUGGGCA